Molecule: microRNA precursor, 61 nt
Filed under: Microcaecilia unicolor
Lineage: Eukaryota; Metazoa; Chordata; Amphibia; Gymnophiona; Siphonopidae
Description: Mun-Mir-181-P2b_pre stem-loop
Rfam family: mir-181 microRNA precursor family
About the family: In this case the mature sequence comes from the 5' arm of the precursor. The extents of the hairpin precursors are not generally known and are estimated based on hairpin prediction.
Source: RNAcentral
AACAUUCAUUGCUGUCGGUGGGUUUUUAGUAUAAAUCAGCUCACUGAUCAAUGAAUGCAAA